AGGGGUAUAGCUCAGUGGUAGAGCAUAUGCUUAGUAUGCAUGAGGUCCUGAGUUCAAUCCCCAGUGCCUCCA
This 72-nucleotide transfer RNA is filed under the name Camelus ferus (Wild Bactrian camel). It matches the Rfam family "tRNA". From Rfam's summary of the family: Transfer RNA (tRNA) molecules are approximately 80 nucleotides in length. Lineage: Eukaryota; Metazoa; Chordata; Mammalia; Artiodactyla; Camelidae. The record is from Rfam by way of RNAcentral.